Molecule: long non-coding RNA, 1531 nt
Organism: Drosophila santomea
Lineage: Eukaryota; Metazoa; Arthropoda; Insecta; Diptera; Drosophilidae
Exons: 3
Source: RefSeq, a predicted model, not a curated record
UGUGCAAGGACCCAAAAAAUAGCCCACACUUGGAAAAACAAAGGGAGAGGAAAUUCUGAGGCAUGCCAUUGAAAUUCGUAAAAGAUUAAGUUCUGUUUUCGAUCAAGUAUGUAAGUAAUGUCACAAAUUUGUGUUAAAUAAUUACAGUGUGAAAACAUUUUGUAUUUUUAAAUGUAAAUUUAAUUUCAUUAGCUACAAAUAUAAAGUUGUACAAAAGCUCAUUCCUAAGGAGGUUAUCAGGUGGUAGCAGUAGCAUUUCAUAAGCGAUCCAUUUGCAAAGCGCAAAUUGUGUCCUUUUUCGGGGAAGGUGGACAUCUGAAAAGUGUGUAAAGUUUAAAGAGCCUUAAGGGAUUAUGCGCACAAAUGUGUUGAAAUUCGGGUCUUAAUGAUAGACCAAGUGGCAGCUAACCGGAAAAAAAUGCCAGAAUAAAGUAAGUGUCCGAAAAAAGGACACAAAAAGCACAAAAAGGACACGCAUUUCGUUUCGUGGCUUAUGGCCAUUUAUAGAUAAGAAGUUAGCCCAAGCUCCGCCAGUUGACCCGAUUGACUGGCUGCUUAUUAGUGUCCUGCCAACUGUGUCCCCACUUCAGCUGCUACAGUGAUAAGUGGCCAUAAGCCUGCAGAGGAUUGGCUCAUCUUGCGCCACAUUUUCCUGAGAUUUCUACUGGGAUUUGCGACAGGUGGCAUUGACUCGCUGACAUUUAUAUCUGACAUUUAUAUCCCUGCGAUGUUUGUUUGCCUCUCCGUUUGUUGUCUCCUGCCAAAAUCUGUCAUCUUCCCAUUCGGAACUCAGCUCAAGUGGCCAACGAGUCGCGUGUCCAAAUAUUGUUGUUUGUUCAGCCUGGUCGAGGACAGUUUGCAGCCUAAGAGGGGUAGGUCCACUUUGGAGCAGUGCAAGGAGAAGGACAAUCCAAUUGGGAAACUACAGGAUAUUGUUUUCAAUCGUGUGAUGGAGUAGACAUAGGGAAGUAUCCUUAUUAACGACUGUUAACUUGUUGAGUGAUAAGUACUAAUUGAAAAAGAGUUACUCGACCGCCUGGUUCGGUUAGAUAUAUGUACUUUACCUUAGAUAUUUCUCCAAGUGUUUACACCUUUACUUUUCCAUAUCCUUGAUACCAGCUUUGUGUGAUACGCCCCUCUGGGUCAAGUUUCCUUCGAAAAAUGUAGCCCACACGAAAUGCUACAAUGUUCCAAAGCACUUGGCUACAGGAAAGUUCUUUUUGGUCGCAUGCCGAAGGCUUUUCCAGGAAAACCCAGCAUCACCCAUUACGAGCAACAACAAUGGGCGGCAGGCAAAACAAAAGGCAAUCAAAAAAGGCGCACUGCUUAAAAUAAAAAAAAAAGAAAAGGAAACAGGAGAAAACGAAACACUUGCAGCUAAGUUUUUACUUUUUAUUGUGCCGAGGAGGGUAAAUUAUACUACGUGAGUGCACAUGGUGAAUUUCCCAAACUCUACUUAGUGGCCCUGGUUUUGGGACGAUUUCCUCAUCAAGGGAAGUGGAAAAUGUGGGGAUGGUGGCGAAGUUGGCGA